AAGACUAUACUUCACAGGAUCAUUUCUGUAGUGAGUCUUCAUUUACUUUCUUUGCAAAUCGAAAGUAUUAGCUAGGUAUACCGUUUUAUCUGACAGCGUGAGGUUUAUGAACUUUAUUUCCAAUUUUGUCUUGUGACAUAUGUAUUAGAAAUGAUGUUUCUUCGAUGAUCGCUCGGUUAUAACGGAUAAUACGACUUCUGAGUGGU
Zeugodacus cucurbitae (melon fly) is the source of this 206-nucleotide small nucleolar RNA. RefSeq annotates it as small nucleolar RNA U3. Lineage: Eukaryota; Metazoa; Arthropoda; Insecta; Diptera; Tephritidae. The transcript has a single exon. The record is from RefSeq and is a predicted model, not a curated record.